GGCAGCAGUGGGGAAUUUUGGACAAUGGGGGCAACCCUGAUCCAGCCAUGCCGCGUGAGUGAAGAAGGCCUUCGGGUUGUAAAGCUCUUUCGGCGGGGAAGAAAUGGCAACGGCUAAUAUCCGUUGUUGAUGACGGUACCCGCAUAAGAAGCACCGGCUAACUACGUGCCAGCAGCCGCGGUAAUACGUAGGGUGCGAGCGUUAAUCGGAAUUACUGGGCGUAAAGCGUGCGCAGGCGGUUUCGUAAGACAGACGUGAAAUCCCCGGGCUCAACCUGGGAACUGCGUUUGUGACUGCGAGGCUAGAGUACGGCAGAGGGGGGUAGAAUUCCACGUGUAGCAGUGAAAUGCGUAGAGAUGUGGAGGAAUACCGAUGGCGAAGGCAGCCCCCUGGGUUAGUACUGACGCUCAUGCACGAAAGCGUGGGGAGCAAACAGGAUUAGAUACCCUGGUAGUCCACGCCCUAAACGAUGUCAACUAGGUGUUGGAAGGGUUAAACCUUUUAGUACCGCAGCUAACGCGUGA
RNAcentral lists this ribosomal RNA (524 nucleotides) under uncultured bacterium. RNAcentral's name for it is "bacterial SSU rRNA". It matches the Rfam family "Bacterial small subunit ribosomal RNA", at positions 347 to 862 of the family's 1533-position model. The record is from RNAcentral.